AUUGAACGCUGGCGGCAUGCCUUACACAUGCAAGUCGAACGGCAGCACGGGUGCUUGCACCUGGUGGCGAGUGGCGAACGGGUGAGUAAUACAUCGGAACAUGUCCUGUAGUGGGGGAUAGCCCGGCGAAAGCCGGAUUAAUACCGCAUACGAUCUACGGAUGACAGCGGGGGACCUUCGGGCCUCGCGCUAUAGGGUUGGCCGAUGGCUGAUUAGCUAGUUGGUGGGGUAAAGGCCUACCAAGGCGACGAUCAGUAGCUGGUCUGAGAGGACGACCAGCCACACUGGGACUGAGACACGGCCCAGACUCCUACGGGAGGCAGCAGUGGGGAAUUUUGGACAAUGGGCGAAAGCCUGAUCCAGCAAUGCCGCGUGUGUGAAGAAGGCCUUCGGGUUGUAAAGCACUUUUGUCCGGAAAGAAAUCCUUGGCCCUAAUACGGUCGGGGGAUGACGGUACCGGAAGAAGAAGCACCGGCUAACUACGUG
RNAcentral lists this ribosomal RNA (486 nucleotides) under uncultured bacterium. Its description in RNAcentral is "partial 16S ribosomal RNA". It matches the Rfam family "Bacterial small subunit ribosomal RNA", at positions 30 to 507 of the family's 1533-position model. The record is from RNAcentral.